Molecule: long non-coding RNA, 144 nt
Organism: Limulus polyphemus (Atlantic horseshoe crab)
Lineage: Eukaryota; Metazoa; Arthropoda; Merostomata; Xiphosura; Limulidae
Exons: 2
Source: RefSeq, a predicted model, not a curated record
ACUAGACAUUUCAUCAGAUGACUGUUAAUGUGGGUUAAUAAUGUACCAAAAUCUCAUCAAAAACUGAUAACAUGGGUUAAUACUGUACUAGACAUUUCAUCAGAUGACUGUUAAUGUGGGUUAAUAAUGUACUAGACAUUUCAU